Molecule: long non-coding RNA, 466 nt
Filed under: Eucalyptus grandis
Lineage: Eukaryota; Viridiplantae; Streptophyta; Magnoliopsida; Myrtales; Myrtaceae
Description: long non-coding RNA (EGRA_LNC007573)
Source: RNAcentral
CUAUCUUUCUCUGUAAAAAGGUGAAGUCUCAAGCAAUGGAACAAUCCUGCCAUCUAUCUUCGGAGAAUUCUACCAAUGCUUGAUGAAUCAUAGCUCUGGCCUUGCGAAAGGUGGGAUGUGGCCCUUCUCUUCAUGGUCAUCUUAUGGGCAUUCUGAUUAUGAUGUAGUGGAAUGGGCUUUGUCUUUUUUUUUUUUUUCUCAAAAUAUCUAGAUGGAAGUAGACUGUUAUGUAGUAAGUAGAGAGGGUCUUGCCUCGUUUGAUCUGUGUUGGUCUUGUUACUGGCCUGAGCUCCACUCUUGUAAAGCAUGACUUAUUCUCUGUUGAGAUAAAAGGCUGAAUCUUAGGAAGUGGAUCAUUCCCUUGGUUGUUUUUGUCUUCCCGUUACUCGAUACACCCUUCCAUCACAGAGCUCCCUUCAAUAUGCAUUUCCUAUAGACCUCCCCUCCAAAAUCUCAAAAACCCACU